This 224-nucleotide ribosomal RNA is filed under the name uncultured bacterium. RNAcentral's name for it is "partial 16S ribosomal RNA". It matches the Rfam family "Bacterial small subunit ribosomal RNA", at positions 110 to 334 of the family's 1533-position model. The record is from RNAcentral.
GCGACGCGUAACCAACCUGCCCACGUCUGGGGGAUAGCCCGCCGAAAGGCGGAUUAAUACCGCAUAAAACGGUGGCCCGGCAUCGGGCCACGGUUAAAGAUUUAUUGGACGUGGAUGGGGUUGCGUGCCAUUAGCUAGUUGGCGGGGUAACGGCCCACCAAGGCGACGAUGGCUAGGGGAGCUGAGAGGCUGGUCCCCCACACGGGCACUGAGAUACGGGCCCG